RNAcentral lists this long non-coding RNA (1476 nucleotides) under Catharus ustulatus (Swainson's thrush). Its description in RNAcentral is "lncRNA (ENSCUSG00005007030.1)". Lineage: Eukaryota; Metazoa; Chordata; Aves; Passeriformes; Turdidae. The record is from RNAcentral.
CAGUCUGCAGAGAGCAGAACAUCUCAGGGUCACUGCUGCUUCCUCCUGCCCCUCCCAUUGCCCACUGUGCAGGGAUCCUGGCUGUGUUGGAUCCUGGCUGUGUUGGAUCCUGGCUGUGUUGGAUCCUGGCUGUGUUGGAUCCUGGCUGUGUUGGAUCCUGGCUGUGUUGGAUCCUGGCUGUGUUGGAUCCUGGCUGUGCAGGGAUCCUGGCUGUGUUGGAUCCUGGCUGUGUUGGGAUCCUGGCUGUGCAGGGAUCCUGGCUGUGUUGGAUCCUGGCUGUGUUGGAUCCUGGCUGUGUUUGGAUCCUGGCUGUGUUGGAUCCUGGCUGUGCAGGGAUCCUGGCUGUGUUUGGAUCCUGGCUGUGUUUGGAUCCUGGCUGUGUUGGAUCCUGGCUGUGUUGGAUCCUGGCUGUGCUGGAUCCUGGCUGUGUUGGAUCCUGGCUGUGCUGGAUCCUGGCUGUGUUGGAUCCUGGCUGUGUUUGGAUCCUGGCUGUGUUGGAUCCUGGCUGUGUUGGAUCCUGGCUGUGUUUGGAUCCUGGCUGUGUUGGAUCCUGGCUGUGUUGGAUCCUGGCUGUGUUGGAUCCUGGCUGUGUUGGAUCCUGGCUGUGUUGGAUCCUGGCUGUGUUGGAUCCUGGCUGUGCAGGGAUCCUGGCUGUGUUGGAUCCUGGCUGUGUUGGAUCCUGGCUGUGUUGGAUCCUGGCUGUGCAGGGAUGCUGGCUGUGUUUGGAUCCUGGCUGUGUUGGAUCCUGGCUGUGUUGAUCCUGGCUGUGCAGGGAUCCUGGCUGUGUUGGGAUGCUGGCUGUGCAGGGAUCCUGGCUGUGUUGGAUCCUGGCUGUGCUGGAUCCUGGCUGUGUUGGAUCCUGGCUGUGUUGGAUCCUGGCUGUGUUGGAUCCUGGCUGUGCUGGAUCCUGGCUGUGUUGGAUCCUGGCUGUGUUGGAUCCUGGCUGUGUUGGAUCCUGGCUGUGUUGGAUCCUGGCUGUGUUGGAUCCUGGCUGUGUUGAUCCUGGCUGUGCUGGAUCCUGGCUGUGCAGGGAUCCUGGCUGUGUUGGAUCCUGGCUGUGCUGGAUCCUGGCUGUGUUGGAUCCUGGCUGUGUUGGAUCCUGGCUGUGUUGGAUCCUGGCUGUGUUGGAUCCUGGCUGUGUUGGGAUCCUGGCUGUGUUGGAUCCUGGCUGUGCCGGAUCCUGGCUGUGCAGGGAUCCUGGCUGUGUUGGAUCCUGGCUGUGUUGGAUGCUGGCUGUGCAGGGAUCCUGGCUGUGUUGGAUCCUGGCUGUGUUGGAUCCUGGCUGUGUUGGAUCCUGGCUGUGUUGGGAUCCUGGCUGUGUUGGGAUCCUGGCUGUGUUGGGAUCCUGGCUGUGUUGGGAUCCUGGCUGUGUUGGAUCCUGGCUGUGCUGGAUCCUGGCUGUGCAGGGAUGCUGGCUGUGUUUGGAUCCUGGCUGUGCAGGGAUCCUGGCUGUGCUGGGAUCACCUCUGCUGGUGA